This is a small nucleolar RNA of Millerozyma farinosa CBS 7064, 158 nucleotides long. It matches the Rfam family "Small nucleolar RNA snR80". Lineage: Eukaryota; Fungi; Ascomycota; Pichiomycetes; Serinales; Debaryomycetaceae. The record is from Rfam.
AAAUGUUUGCCAACACUCUGGUGCCUGAUAUAACUUCGAACUUGAUUCGAAGUUUUCCCGUAUUUGGUUCCUAUUUCAGCGCAAACUAGAUAAAAAGCUAAUUACUCACCAUCAUAGUCACCUAAUGACUAUGAUAGGUCCAUUUCACGAGCUAACAU